GUUGCUGAGCCGGCUCCAACCGGCUGGAAGGCGGGAAGCUGUUUCGCUCGGAGGCUCGCGCGCUUUUUGGAAUUCAGUUAUCAAGCUUUAGAGCCUGGCUACUCACAGUUGAAGCCUGAUUGCUAGGUUCUUUUAACUCCUCUCCACACCUGCACCGGAGACCACUGGUAACAAUCUGUGGCCAUCAGCUAAACGCUCACCCAGGUUGAUUUGUACAAAUAGCACAAGAGGACACCAACCCCAUGCAGAUGGCAGCCCAGCAGGUCACACCAGUCCUUCUGUCCUCACACUGGCAGACAGAGGCCUCCUCUCUGGAGUCUUCACAGGGGCCUGAGCUAGAGCUGGAAAUGCAGCUGGAGCUGCAGCCAAAGCUGGGGCUGCAGGGCCUUGAUUUGAGACUUGGCCUUGGUCUUGGGUGGGCAGAGGUAAGACCCUUGGCAAUGCAGGCAGGAGCAUGCUUCCCGAGCUUGGGGUAGGCAACGUAGGCAAGUCAGUUGAGCUUCUGGAUGAUGUGCUUUGGGAUUUGGGACUUAACCUCCUUGGCCUUUUUGAGGACCUUGAUAGAC
Molecule: non-coding RNA, 566 nt
Filed under: Pongo abelii (Sumatran orangutan)
Lineage: Eukaryota; Metazoa; Chordata; Mammalia; Primates; Hominidae
Source: RNAcentral